RNAcentral lists this ribosomal RNA (253 nucleotides) under uncultured bacterium. RNAcentral describes it as "partial 16S ribosomal RNA". It matches the Rfam family "Archaeal small subunit ribosomal RNA", at positions 474 to 727 of the family's 1478-position model. The record is from RNAcentral.
UACCAGCACCCCGAGCGGUCGGGACGUUUAUUGGGCCUAAAGCAUCCGUAGCCGGUUCUACAAGUCUUCCGUUAAAUCCAGCUGCUUAACAGAUGGGCUGCGGAAGAUACUAUGGAGCUAGGAGGCGGGAGAGGCAAGCGGUACUCGAUGGGUAGGGGUAAAAUCCGUUGAUCCAUUGAAGACCACCAGUGGCGAAGGCGGCUUGCCAGAACGCGCUCGACGGUGAGGGAUGAAAGCUGGGGGAGCAAACCGG